CAACAAUUUAUCAUUGCAGUAAUUUAUGCGUCCUUCACUGAUCCAUCACAAACAACAAAAGCACUUUGUGGAUGGGACGCUCCGAUUUCUACUUUUUGCUGCUGCAGAAAGCUGCUCGACCGGAAUCUUCACAUUCCCGGUGCCUCUUCUCUGGAGGUUGUUUUUCUUUCUGUUUCCUGGGGAAGCGACGAGCCGCCUGUCACCAUUUUAGAUCCACUCUGGACAAAGCCAGCCCUUAAAACAACGCUUAAUCGAGGAAGAUGAGGGGCUUUUUGAUCCUCGUGCUCGUGACAGCAAAGCUAAAAAACACUCUGACUGUUGUGCGUGUGUUCCAGUUUCCCAGCAUGCCUUGGCUGCAAAAGUGGAAGUGUAUGAGGGGGCGGAGUCUGUGCUUCUGCCCUGCCGGGUAGGUUUUUUACUGGAGGACACCACAGUGACAUGGAGCCGCCCUGACCUCGAUCCCAGCACCAUCCACAGGUGGCACGAAGACCGAGACGAGCCGGAAGGUCAGAACAUGCGUUACCGUGGGCGCACGGCAAUGAGGGCAAACGAGGCGGACCCCAAAGACCUGAGCCUCACUCUGAGCAAACCCGAGCUGUCUGACACCGGAAGUUACGACUGCAUCAUCAGCAAGCAGAAAGACGUGCUAAAGCUGACCGACAUAGAGCUCCAGGUCAAAGUUGGCAUGUUGGAGGUGGAGGUGACAGAAGGGUCCGAGUUCAUCCAACUGCCCUGCCAAACGACAUCUCUGCUGCCUGCCGACACCACCGUGGAGUGGAGCCGCUCCGAGCCCAUCCCCAUGAUUGUCCACGUGUUCCCGAACAGCAGUGCAGAGCUGCCGAAGAAACAGGACGAGUUCUUCUGUGGACGCACGCGCAUGCAUGAGGACUCGCUGAAAACGGGAGACCUGAGUCUGACCCUGAAGUACCCCUCAGAGCGAGACAACGGUCACUACGUCUGCACCAUCAACACGGGCACGGACAUGCUGAAGCAGAAAGUAGCCCUGCAGCACGUCAAAAAACCGUUUCCCACCUGGGCCACGGCUUUCCUGAGCAUCAUGGCCAUCAGUCUGGUUGCUGGCGGAGGUUUUGUGGCAUAUUUCUGGUAUUAUUUUAAGAUGGUCUCCACCAUGGAGGUGGAUGAAGGGGGGGAGUCUGUUCAGCUGCAAUUUAAAACCACGCCUAACCUGCCAGUCGGUGCUACAGUGGCGUGGAGGCGCUCCAGGCUUGGCUUCAAACCAAUCACAGUUUAUGAGUACUCGAACGGCGAAAGCAAACCAGGUGUGAAAUACACGGACCGUACAGAGAUGGUCGAGGACCCACUGACAUCAGGAGAUCUCAGUCUGACCCUGAGGCGACCGCGAAGACGAGACAGCGGGAUCUACAUCUGCACCCUCUGCAGGGGCAAAGUCGUCCUGGGUGAGAAACGACUGAGGCUGGAGGUCAAAGUCCCUCAGGUGAAGGUGUCAGAGGGGGUCGAUGCUGUGCUGCCCUGGAGAACCUGGAUUCCUCCAACAGAAAAAGCCACUGUGGAGUGGAGCCGUCAUGAGCCGUGGCCCAUGAUUGUCCAUGUCUAUCAGAGCGGCUCAAGCUGUCUGGAGAAGCAGACCUGGUUGUACCGUGGCCGCACAAAGAUGGAGGACGAAGACCCUCGUAAGAACAGAAACCUCAGUCUGGUCCUGCACGAGCCCACGGUGCUGGACAGUGGCGAGUAUACGUGCACCAUCAAAGAGGAAGAGCGAGUCGUGAGGACGAAGAGUCUGAGGCUCCACGUCAGAGAUUUCAAUCACAUCUCUGAUGAUGAAGAAAAUGAAGAAAAUACUCCUUUGAUCAGAUACCGUGGCCCCCAGUCUGUCUAAUCUCUGGCUCCCCCUCAGGUCCUCUCGGUGAACUGUGCUCAGUAUCAAUCAGUGAGCCGUGGCCCAGAUUUUAAAAGUCCAAACAAAGGAAAGGAGGAAAUAAGACAACGGGAUUCAAAGGUUUUUAAACGUCAUCCAUUUUUAAAGUAUUUCAGACAACAGAACAUGUACUGUUUGUUUCUCAGGAUCCACAUGAUAAAAAGUGUUUAGCUGACAUUAACACUGUGGUGGGCGUUGGUUUGUGGGGCGUCCGCAGGGGAGACCGACGCACCGGAGCUCCAUCAUGCGUAAGAAGAAUUAACUGGAUCCUGAGUUGUUGUUGUUCUGUGCGUGCUGCUAAAAGCUGCAGCCCAGGGGUGUUGUAGCAGCAACCGGGAAAUAGAGUGUGUCAAAAGUGUGAAAUAUGUGGUCGGGUCUGUGCUUACCGCCACAAACACCUGUAGGACACCAGAUUUAUAACAUUAAAAAAAAAGACAGUUUGAAAAUUAUUCCUUUUGGCCCAACAACCAAACCCAGUUAGGGAGAUUGUCACAGUCUGUGGAAGCAGACUGUGACAAUCUCCCUAACUUCUGAAUGUGGGAGUGAGAAGGAGCACCCAGGUGCAGACACGCCAGGAGACGGAGCUGAGUUUACACAAAAGGCGAGCUGAAAAACCAUGAAUACAAAAACAAAGCAGCGGGAGAGAACUACAACUACAAGCUAAACUGUGACGACUAUGACAAAGUGACAUGAACAUGAUUCUGAACAGGUGCAUGCGAGGAAACACGAACAUGGAACACGAACACGGAACAUGCCCUGAACAGAAUCAUGAAAGACUUUAAAUUCCCACUAGAGCUGCUCAUUUCAGGGGAUACUCCCUCUUGUGGUGUAACGGAGGAAUAACUACCCUUACAGCACUGUGUCUUAUCUUAUUGGAAAUUGGGGCACACAUUAUUAUACAACAACCAAAGAAAAUAACAUAUUUGAACAAUCAGAACAUUUUAACCAAAUAUAAUAUUGUAACUAAAGAUUAUGGGGGAUGUCUUGUUUUUGUCCAUAAUGCGUCUCUUGUCCUUACAAAUACUAGAACUUAACAUCCUUUCAAUGUAACAUAAGAAAACAAAAAUACAAAAACUAAACUCAGAGUGCUGGGUCGCAGCCCCUGACAGAGGUGAUAAAACCAGAAGCUAUUUCAGAGGGACAUCACUGAAAGAUUGUCGAUGUUGAUUCAUCUCUGCAGCGCUCUCUCAGCUUGACUUGUUAAAGAGAUACCUGCAACCUUAUUCACAGCUCUGCUGCAGGUUAAACAUAAGGCCAUAUAAAGCCAUCAGCACCUCAAUCUGAGGUGUGUCCUCCAUCCUGUGACCAGGAUCAGCCUCAGAGCUCCAUGUGGAAGGAGGUCUCAGCAGGAGCUCCAAUGGAGGAUCCACAAACGACACAGAGAAUGAAGGAUUUUUGUUGAGCUCAUUGACUUAUUCUCAGUCAGACUCGUGUUUGAGAUGUUCACGAUUCCUUGAAGUCAUCACAGGACUAAACAUGAGCACAAAAACCUCAACAAUUCUACAUCAACUUUUUAUCAUGUGAUCAGGUUUCAUCAGCUUUAAGACAUAAAAGCAGUCAGAAUGAGCAGCCUGUGUCACUCUGAACUCACCUGUAAAACCAAGUGGGCACAAAGUGAGAGAUUCUGUGUACUGAGAAAAAAUGGAAAUGAAUAAAAGCACUGGAGCCUGUCAGUGUGUGCCUUAACUGUUGCUCUUUGAUUUCUUUAAAUUACAGUUACAUUAUACAAACAAAAACAGAUAACUCAGCGGCAUCAUGUGGGCUGAGGUCCAGAGCCAGCUCACUAUGGUAUCCACUUUGGUCCUUUGAUGGAUUUCAAAGUGAGAUCAUGGAUAUCAGAACAUCCAUGGGGAAGAAAUGUCAAGGGAAAGAAAUCCUGUCAAGGUUCGAGGUGUUUCAGUGUGGUCUACAAAUUGGAAUAAAAGCAUUUAUCCAUGCAGCCUUCAUCCAUCCACCCACCGAUCAUCCUUCCAUCCAUCCAUUCGACUGUUCACCCAUGCAUCAUCCAUCCAUCCUUCAAACUGUCCUUCCGUCCAACAGUCCAUCCAUCUGUCAGACUGUGAAUCCAUCAAACAGUCCAUCUGUCCGUUGAUCCGGUCACUGCCACUCCAGUGGUGCAUGUGGGCAUGUUUAGCAACACUGUUUUGUUUAAACCAUGAGUUGGGAUGUUGUGGGGGAUUCUUAUCGCAAUGUUCCCCAGCCUUAAGCUGCUUGUCACACACUUUCCCUGAUAACGCUACUAAGCUUUCUUAAGGUGGAAGAUUACUGAGGGGAAGAGCGCUUUUGUGGGCCAAAGCAUUUUUCACUUUUCAUCCUAUUGCUUCCUCCCCAUAUGAUGUUUUCUUCAAUGAACUGAAAAAGACUUUUGCUUGUCCAGUGUCUGAGAGCAGUUCUUCCAAGAAAUUAUUGAGCUGUUGUGGCAAUCCAAGCGUAGCUGAGUUUGUAGUUGAUUUUCUUAGUGUGGCCACAGAGAUGGACUUCUCUGUAGGUAUUACAGGUACUGCAGUGCAGUACCUGUAAUACCUACAGCAUGCUCUAGUCGCUCUAAUAGGAUAUAACUUCUCUGAUGGACAGAGUCUCCCACCCCAUGCAUGUAAAUGUUGCUGAACUGCAGAGCUCCUUCAGUGACAGACUGCUGCAUCCUCGAUGCAUGAAGGAGCGUUUCCGCAGGUCCUUCCUCCCUGCAGCUGUCAGGCUGUACAAUCAAAACCGCUCCCAACAAACACAGAGGUUUACAUCAGCGCUGCAACUUGGACUAAUCAACCGAACAACUACCGCUGUUAUAACUUGCACAUUAUUUUUCUCACUUUAUAUAUACUAACUAAUCGGAAGUUACACAUUGACUUUUUAAUGCACAGGUACAAUCACACAAUCUGCACUUUUCUAAUUAUUCUAAAUAUUCUUAACUAUUUAAACAUCUUUCAGUAUCCUGCUCUGUUUGCACACUACAACCUGGGUUUGCCACUUAUCUGUACUUUAAUUGUAAUAACUGUAAUUGGUAACUAUUGUCCAUGAUGUAAAUAUGUAAAAAUUGUGUCUGUUUCUGUUCUGUGUCCUGUGUCCUGUUCUUGUUGUAUAUGUGUCUUUUUGCUGCUGUUAUAACCAAAUUUCCCCUUGUGGGACAAUUAAAGAAUUAUUC
This is a long non-coding RNA of Oreochromis aureus, 5036 nucleotides long. Lineage: Eukaryota; Metazoa; Chordata; Actinopteri; Cichliformes; Cichlidae. The record is from Ensembl.